RNAcentral lists this ribosomal RNA (482 nucleotides) under uncultured bacterium. RNAcentral's name for it is "partial 16S ribosomal RNA". It matches the Rfam family "Bacterial small subunit ribosomal RNA", at positions 28 to 507 of the family's 1533-position model. The record is from RNAcentral.
GAUGAACGCUGGCGGCGUGCCUAAUACAUGCAAGUCGAACGCUUCACUUCGGUGAAGAGUGGCGAACGGGUGAGUAAUACAUAAGUAACCUGGCAUCUACAGGGGGAUAACUGAUGGAAACGUCAGCUAAGACCGCAUAGGUGUAGAGAUCGCAUGAACUCUAUAUGAAAAGUGCUACGGGACUGGUAGAUGAUGGACUUAUGGCGCAUUAGCUUGUUGGUAGGGUAACGGCCUACCAAGGCGACGAUGCGUAGCCGACCUGAGAGGGUGACCGGCCACACUGGGACUGAGACACCGCCCAGACUCCUACGGGAGGCAGCAGUAGGGAAUUUUCGGCAAUGGGGGAAACCCUGACCGAGCAACGCCGCGUGAAGGAAGAAGUAAUUCGUUAUGUAAACUUCUGUCAUAGAGGAAGAACGGUGGAUAUAGGGAAUGAUAUCCAAGUGACGGUACUCUAUAAGAAAGCCACGGCUAACUACGUG